RNAcentral lists this ribosomal RNA (490 nucleotides) under uncultured bacterium. Its description in RNAcentral is "partial 16S ribosomal RNA". It matches the Rfam family "Bacterial small subunit ribosomal RNA", at positions 30 to 507 of the family's 1533-position model. The record is from RNAcentral.
AUUGAACGCUGGCGGCAGGCCUAACACAUGCAAGUCGAACGGUAACAGGAAGAAGCUUGCUUCUUUGCUGACGAGUGGCGGACGGGUGGGUAAUGUCUGGGAAACUGCCUGAUGGAGGGGGAUAACUACUGGAAACGGUAGCUAAUACCGCAUAAUGUCGCAAGACCAAAGAGGGGGACCUUCGGGCCUCUUGCCAUCGGAUGUGCCCAGAUGGGAUUAGCUAGUAGGUGGGGUAACGGCUCACCUAGGCGACGAUCCCUAGCUGGUCUGAGAGGAUGACCAGCCACACUGGAACUGAGACACGGUCCAGACUCCUACGGGAGGCAGCAGUGGGGAAUAUUGCACAAUGGGCGCAAGCCUGAUGCAGCUAUGCCGCGUGUAUGAAGAAGGCCUUCGGGUUGUAAAGUACUUUCAGCGGGGAGGAAGGGAGUAAAGUUAAUACCUUUGCUCAUUGACGUUACCCGCAGAAGAAGCACCGGCUAACUCCGUG